AGUGGCAGACGGGUGAGUAACAUGUGGGUAUCUACCCUUUGGCCUGGAAUAACACGAGGAAACUUGUGCUAAUACCGGAUAAGUCUUUACGGAGAAAGCUUUAUGCACCAUUGGAUGAGCCCGCACUUGAUUAGUUUGUUGGUAGGGUAAUGGCCUACCAAGACUAUGAUCAAUAGCUGAUUUGAGAGGAUGAUCAGCCACAUUGGGACUGAGACACGGCCCAAACUCCUACGGGAGGCAGCAGUGGGGAAUCUUGCACAAUGGAGGAAACUCUGAUGCAGCGAUGCCGCGUGAGUGAAGAAGGCCUUUGGGUUGUAAAGCUCUUUCGUCGGGGAAGAAAAUGACUGUACCCGAAUAAGAAGGUCCGGCUAACUUCGUGCCAGCAGCCGCGGUAAUACGAAGGGACCUAGCGUAGUUCGGAAUUACUGGGCUUAAAGAGUUCGUAGGUGGUUGAAAAAGUUGGUGGUGAAAUCCCAGAGCUUAACUCUGGAACUGCCAUCAAAACUUUUCAGCUAGAGUAUGAUAGAGGAAAGCAGAAUUUCUAGUGUAGAGGUGAAAUUCGUAGAUAUUAGAAAGAAUACCAAUUGCGAAGGCAGCUUUCUGGAUCAUUACUGACACUGAGAACGAAAGCAUGGGUAGCGAAGACGAUAGGAUACCCUCGUAGUCCAUGCCGA
RNAcentral lists this ribosomal RNA (674 nucleotides) under uncultured bacterium. RNAcentral's name for it is "bacterial SSU rRNA". It matches the Rfam family "Bacterial small subunit ribosomal RNA", at positions 94 to 803 of the family's 1533-position model. The record is from RNAcentral.